RNAcentral lists this ribosomal RNA (352 nucleotides) under uncultured Stenotrophomonas sp. RNAcentral's name for it is "bacterial SSU rRNA". It matches the Rfam family "Bacterial small subunit ribosomal RNA", at positions 1146 to 1496 of the family's 1533-position model. The record is from RNAcentral. Lineage: Bacteria; Pseudomonadati; Pseudomonadota; Gammaproteobacteria; Lysobacterales; Lysobacteraceae.
AGACCGCUGGUUACAAACCGGAGGAAGGUUGGGAUGACGUCAAGUCAUCAUGGACCUUACGGCCAGGGCUACACACGUACUACAAUGGUAGGGACAGAGGGCUGCAAGCCGGCGACGGUACGCCAAUCCCAGAAACCCUAUCUCAGUCCGGAUUGGAGUCUGCAACUCGACUCCAUGAAGUCGGAAUCGCUAGUAAUCGCAGAUCAGCAUUGCUGCGGUGAAUACGUUCCCGGGCCUUGUACACACCGCCCGUCACACCAUGGGAGUUUGUUGCACCAGAAGCAGGUAGCUUAACCUUCGGGAGGGCGCUUGCCACGGUGUGGCCGAUGAGUGGGGUGAAGUCGUAACAAGG